AAAAUAAAAACUCGAAAGCAAUUGCUUUCAGCCAACACCCCCUUCCUUUUUCACAUUUUUCUCAUUUUUCUUUGUUUCUUCCUCUUCUCCUCUCUUUUCUUCUUCCUUCCCAAAUAAACAAAUCUUAAAGAACAAAAAAAUAAAAAUAAAAACAACUCUCCCAUCCAGCUCCAGCAACGUAGGGCACUAGAACAUCCCUCUCUCUCUCUCUCUCUCUCUCU
RNAcentral lists this long non-coding RNA (221 nucleotides) under Prunus persica (peach). RNAcentral's name for it is "long non-coding RNA (PPER_LNC003533)". Lineage: Eukaryota; Viridiplantae; Streptophyta; Magnoliopsida; Rosales; Rosaceae. The record is from RNAcentral.